RNAcentral lists this unclassified non-coding RNA (344 nucleotides) under soil metagenome. RNAcentral's name for it is "partial contains 5.8S ribosomal RNA, internal transcribed spacer 2, and large subunit ribosomal RNA". The stretch from base 1 to 120 matches the Rfam family "5.8S ribosomal RNA", at positions 35 to 154 of the family's 154-position model. The record is from RNAcentral.
GAUGAAGAACGUAGCGAAAUGCGAUACGUAAUGUGAAUUGCAGAAUUCAGUGAAUCAUCGAGUCUUUGAACGCACAUUGCGCCCUCUGGUAUUCCGGAGGGCAUGCCUGUCCGAGCGUCAUUGCUGCCCUCAAGCACGGCUUGUGUGUUAGGCCCCGUCCUCCGCUCGCGGGGGACGGGCCUGAAAGGCAGCGGCGGCACCGCGUCCGGUCCUCGAGCGUAUGGGGCUUUGUCACCCGCUCUGUAGGCCCGGCCGGCGCCUGCCGAUCAACCACACUUUUAUUCAGGUUGACCUCGGAUCAGGUAGGGAUACCCGCUGAACUUAAGCAUAUCAAAAGCGGAGGA